UACAAAACAAAGAAAAAAGGAAAAACAGAAUGAAGCUUACAUCGCAUAAAUGUAAGCAAGAUUAUUUAUUUAUUGAGAUACAGAUACAAAUUUAUUAUGGAGCUUCAGUUUUGAGGCUCGGUUUCAGGCUCCGUAUCAACAGCCUCACCAGCGUAAGUGCAGCACCUGCAGCCUCCAUGAUAACCAUGUCCACAGCAACCGUAGCGGCAGUGGCCACCGCCAUGGCCCCCACCACCGCCAUAGCCCCCACCACCGCCAUAGCCCCCACCACCUCCAUAGCCACCACGGCCACCGCCGUUAUAACCUCCACGGCCACCGCGGUUAUAACCUCCACGGCCGUCCUCAAUUUCAUGUGUCUCUGUGGCCUUAUCAGCUGCAUGUGUAUUUACAACGUGUUACAUAAUAAUAUUAGUAAUGAUUAAUGUUAAUAUUUAUUUAUCUUGAUAUUAUUUAUUUUGAAGAAUAAUAAACACACGUUAAAUAUGUUGUUUAUCUAAUAUCCCUAUGGCUUAUUAUGAUUAGAUAUUUUAAUAUAAUGUGCAAAAAAAAAAUCCAUGAAUGAAACAUAAUAGUUAAUUACAAUUAACUCAGUGUUAUCAAAGUGCAGAUUUGAGACUAAAUAGUGCUAUUUAGUUAGAAUACUUCAUUAAAUUAUUAUAAAAUUUCAAAUUUGUAUUUUAAAAUAUGUUUUUAUAAACUAGACAACCGUUUGUUAUAUAAGCUCACCCUUUUCGUUGUGAUCAAUGGAAGUCUCGGCCAGGUCUCUGGCUGCUACCUCGGAAGAGAUAAGAAGAGCAAUGGCCAUUAAAAGGCCUAAAAGAAGGAACAAUUUGGAACCCAUUUUUCUUUUUCUUGCUUGAGAAAACUAUCAAUGAAGGAUUGGAGAAGGAUGAUGAAAUUUGCAUUCUCAUGUUCUCUAUUUAUAGUGGGAGGGCUCAUCAGGAAGAGUAUGAUGAAUUUAUGAGUCAUGACCCACAGUUAGUUGGCUGUUGAAGAUCUACUUGUAGAAAUUAUUCAAUCUUUUUAAUUGAAUUUGUCAGUACUGGAAAAUCUAAUGUUUUCACCUACUCUCAAGUAAAAGAACGAGGUCCAUUAAUUAUGUCGGCCAAUGGAUUCAUACUAAUACUUGGUCCAGAAGUGGCCAAGUGUUUAUUAGGAAAAACAUUUCAUAUUAAUCGAAAAUAAUUAUUAAAUUAAAAAAUUAUUAAUUUUUAAAUUAAUUUUUGAGUAUAAAUUUGUUACAUACACUUUUACGACACUUUUAACUAAUAGUUUUUUAUUUUUAUUUUUUUAAAAAUCACGUAAGUAUUUAAUAUAAUUACAUUUUCAAGAUUUAAAUAAAAAAUUUUAAUUAAAUUAAAAUAAUCUUUUACCAAUUGAUUUACGCGCGUAUUAAUAACUAGUAGUUGUUCGUUUUAAAACAUGGCACAAUGUCUCUGUAACUCUUUCAUCAGUGUUGGACCCAUAGUCACCACUUGUUAUUGGACACUAGUAGUACGGAAAAUGUCGUCUUUACAAUGCGAUGAUUUUAAGAGGCAAGAUUCAAUCCAAGCCGUGAAUUGGGGAUGAAGCCACCCUGUCAUGAUAAUUGCGACGGGUAAUUUUUAAAACUUCCUUUUGAGUUUUGGACUUACUAUAAGUAGAUAGUAAAAAUUUAUUUAUUUGUAAAAAAUCUCUUACCAUCAGUUAAUUUUAACAUUGACCGUUAGUUAACUGUGCAAAGAUAAUAUUACCCUUAAUAAUAGUUUACAGACAAAAAUAACUAAAAAAAAACUAAAAUUAUUGGUUAUUUUACCCUUUUUAAAUUAUUGAUAUUUUCUUAAAGUUCUUAUAAAAAAGAUAAAAUUAAAAACUUAAAAAAUCAUCUUUAAAUUAUUGAUAUUUCCUUAAAGUUCUUACAAAAAAGAUAAAAUUAAAAACUUGAAAAUGAAAUAGUCAUAAUCUUUACCUAUGAUAUUGUAAAUCUUUGGAAUUGACAAGGAUAAAAUUAUCAAAAAAUAAGAUUUGUGCUUUUCGCGUUAAUAAUUUUAAUUUUUUUUAGUCAGUCUAUAAACUAUUAUUAAGGGUAAUAUUGUCUUUGCACAGUCAACUAACGGUCAAUGUUAAAAUUAAUUGACGGUAUGAGAUUUUUUAUAAAUAAAUAGAUUUUUACUAUCUACUUGCAACAAAUCCAAACCUCAAAAGAAAUUUUUAAAAAUUACCCUAAUUGCGACCCCAUAUGCGCGACCUGUUAAUGUCAGUCACCCACUUGUACAGUUCUUCUCAUCACAAUUGACUUUAAAGCCACGGCGUCUACAGUCUGGAUAGGAUAGAGCUAAUUUAACUAGAGAACGCGAUGAGUUCAAUAAUGCCGAUUUCGUGUCAUGUUUCAUUCUUCAUGGCAUUUCGUUAUUAAUAGGGGCGGCUCAACCUUUAGCAGACUUCAAGCAAAUUGUUUUAAUUAUGCCAGCUUAAAAAUUUAAGAUAAAAUAUAUACAUUAAUUUUAUUAUAAAAGUUAUCAUUUCAAAUCAAUUUUUUUAUAUUUUUAAGUUAUAAAAUUAUUAAUUUUCUUUUUAAAUUUUACUAACAUAUCUUUCUCAAAUGAUAACGUACUAUAGCCUAUCUUAAAUAAGUUUUUGACAAUUUAGUUUUGAAAAUUUUUAUUUUUUUUGCAAAAGUAUUUUUAUCAAUAUUAUAAACAAUUUCCUAUGAAAAAAGUACACAAUUAUUUUAGAAAAAUAAAAACAACACCCAAUGAACAUAGUAAUAUUUUUCAUAAAGGAAUCAGACAACUAAAUAACAAACUAAGUAAGAGGAAAAUGUAAAGGUAAAAUUUAAAAAUUUGAGACAAAAUCAUUAAUUAAACUUUAAUGGUUUUUGGUGUUAAGCAUUAACCAAUGACCAUGAAAAGAAAAAAAAUAAACGUUUGAUUUUUUUUGUAAAACAUUAUUACUAGAAUUAGAAACAACAACUGAUGAAAAAGCAUACAGUUAUUGCAAAAAUUUAAAACACAACACCCGAUGAAUACAAGAAUAUUUUCAUAAAGAAAUAAGACAACUCAACAACAAAAUUAAUUAAAAAUAGAGUAGAAAGAUAAAACCUGAAAAUUUAAUAUGAAAUCACAAACUAAGUUUGAUGAUUUGAGGUUUUAUGACUAUAGAAAAUAUAAAAAAAUAAACUGUUAAUUCUUUUUCUAGUAAUGCAUUUAUGGUAUCAUUGUUUUAGGAGAAAAUAUUGCUAACAGGUAAGUUCGUAAAUGUAGGUUUUUUUAAAAAAAAAUAGAGGUAGGAAUUAACAAUGUUUUAAUUAAAAUUUAUUAAUUUAACGUUACACAGAAAUUUUAUAGGAAUUAAAACUAUUAAUUCUAGAGAGAAUUUAUUGGAAUUUUGAUAAUUCAUUUAAGAAAAGAUAAUUAUGAAGCACUAAUAAAAUAAACUAAUCAUGAUUGAGUUAGUUAGAACUUAGAAAUUUAUAUAUUUUUACUAUAAAAUAAUAGAUUUAAAAUAAAUAUAAAGCCUUAAUCUAUAAUAGGGUCUUAGUCAACCGUCUAGUUGUCUAGAGAAAAAGCCACUCCUAUAUAAUUAUCAAGUGCAGAUGCCUACAUUUUUUUUUAAUGUGAACACGCUCUUAAACUAUGCGGUUUAAAAAAAUUAAAAAUAAAUUCUCUUAAAUUCCACAAUUUAAUAUCGUGUUUACACAUAAAAAAAAAAAAAGAGCGUCCAUACUAGAGAAAGAGUCAAAGAGUAAUAGUGUGUGUGUGUGUGCGUGUGUGUAUUGGGGAUAAUUUAAUUAUUGAGAAAUUAAGGUGGCGUUUGUUUUUUAACUUAAUGACUUAAAGUGACUUAACUUAAUUAAUUAAGUUAAUUAGAGGUGUUUGUUUUUAUAACUUAAUGAGACUUUUUAGAUAAUUUUGACUUAAUAAAAUAAGCCAAUUUUUUUAGCUUUUUACUUAAUGGAGAAAUCUGAAUUAAGUCAAUUACUUGUUAAUAUCAAAAAUAUCCUUGCUUUAUAAUUUAUUUUUCAUGUCUAUCCCAAACUCACCCAUAGACAUUUACCCCACAUAAAAAUAUCCAUAUUUUUUCUUUCUUAUAUUAUAUACGAUAAAAUUUAAAAUUUAUGAUAUUUUAUAUAUUAAAAUUCUAAAAUAAUUAUGUAUUCACUUGAAUAUAGUUUUGCUUAUAAAUGUUAAAAUAUUGUGGUAUUUAAUAUAUUAUUUAUUUGACAUUCAAAUUUAAUAAGGAUACAAAUGUAAAAGUACAUAUUUUUAACUUUUUAAGUUGAAAAAAAAAUAAUUUAAUACUUAUUUUUUGAGAUUUAGACGAAAAAAUAAAUAUAUUAUUCAGACUCAAACAUUCAGAUUUAUUCAGAAUUCAAACUAAUUCAGGUUUAUUCAGAUUUUAGACAAAAAAAUAAACGCCACCUAAAUCAGAACCAAAAUCUCUAAUUUCGGAAGCUAAUAAUAAUUGGUUAACUGAUUUGAUAGUUAAAGAUUUGCAAGUAGUGAAAUGUAACGUUUAUUAAUUAAUUUUUUGAUUUAACAUUUAUUCGAUCAAAGUCAUCUUAUGCUUUAGUUGAUUAUCUGAUCUAAUAUUUGUGUGUGAUAGUUGAUCUAAUCGUACGUGUGUAAUCAGUUGAUGUCGAAGGCAAUACUUGGAUAUAUUAGCUGGAGAUAAGAUCAUCGAUCCUUAUGUCGUUUAGCACGAAAAUGAAGUGCACAGCAUAUCCAAACAUGCUCCUUUUGAUUAGACUUUUCACAUUUUCAUGAUCCUCCGACAUCUAAUCGCAUUGAUUUUAGCUAAAUGAGGUGGCUACUUUUCUUUUUUCUUGUUUCCAAAGAGUGAAGAAGAUUCUGACAAUGCCGCACCCAUCAUAUUAAUUGGUACUUUAAAAACAAAGGCCCUAAGGUAUUUUGACGCUUAAUCCACUAUAUUAAUUAAAAUUUUAUGUUAGUUGGUUAAUUGGAAUUACUAAUUGCAUAUUAUCGAAAAAGAAUUAUCAUAAAGUUUUAACAAUCUUUUAGCUUGUAACAUUUUCAAAAUUAAACUGAAGCAUGUAACACUUACGAACGAGUUCUGAAUUAUGGCAAUUAACAGCUACAAGAGUUGGAGUGAGUUUUGAAGAAUAAACAAAGACUAGGAAAUAAAGUCACGGCAGAGAUCAACAUGUGAUAUUUUGGAGUCUUUCCGAAAAUCUGCAGAAAAAAAUAUUAGUAUAAUAUUCAAAAAUUAAAUAAUAACUUAAAAUAUUAUAUAAAAUAAGACAUAUAUGUAAAUAAGAUAAAGUAAUAAAGAUAGUGCUACAUUAGAGAUGCCCUAACGAUGCAAUUUGUGUUAUUGCCCGAUGCAAUUUGGGGAGCUACUGUUUUGGUGUCUGAUCCCAGUGCUGUGAUGGAGGCCAAAAAUGUUUAGCUGCGAUGGAGGCUUGUUUGCGAGAGUUCAAUGGAGGCUUCUUCAAGUGAUGUGGCUGCGAUGGAUGCUUUCUCAAGUGUUCGAAAUGUUUGUUACUUUUUUUCUGCUAUUUGUAUUUUCAAAAUUUUAAAUUUUUGGUGAGACAAAUUUGGUAAUCUUGCGAACGGAAAACUGAUCUCAGUCCUCCUUGCGAAUCACUCUUUCAUUUCUCAUUUACAAAUUGAGAUGGAUCUCAUGAUUUUUAUUUUAAUUUCCAUCUUUACUAGACAUAAUAAACGACAUUAAUAAUUUUAAUUUCUUAAUCUGAGAAGUAUACACACAAUUAGAGAAGUAUACACACAAUUAGAGAUGCAGUUGUUUCAAAUAGCAUCCAGAUAUCUCUUGAGAAUUAAAAUUCAUUAGAAAUUCAAGAGCAAAAUCUUUGUGAACUCAAUAAUAGGUCUAAGAAAAAUCAAAGAGUUGGCUUAAUUAUGAGAGAGAGAUUUUUCCAGCUUGCAGUCUGUAAAACACAGCCCCUUAUAAAAUGAGUGGUUGGCACACCUUUAAUUGCUUGUUGGCCCACCUCUAGUUGUUUCAGCUUGGAUGUACCUUACAUAAACUGUAAGGUAGCAAGACCCGAAAUAUGAUGAGAUACGUUCUUGCUCUGAACAGAAGCGUACGUCAUGUAUGACGCAGAUCGAAAUGACAUUGCUUUUUUGCAUUGACGUUGAAUCCAAUUUCAUUAACUGACGUGGGGACUCCAUGCACGUGAUAACCUGAUGGGACACAAUAUUAUUUAACAUUCUUUGCAUCUUUUUCAAUUUAUCAGCAGCCUUCGCUAUCUAUAAAUAGGGCGAAGCUGCAAUGUUCUUGUCACCGCGUCUCAAGUAACAUCACAGUGAUAAAAUCAAGCUUAGUAACUUCUUCUUCUUAAGAGAAAACAAUGGCUUCAUCUAAGAUCACUUUGUUUUUUUCUUACUUGUUUUCUCUUUGAUCUUGUUCUUUUGCCAUCUCUUCAGAUGAUCACUGAAGUGAGUAAAUCGAUUGGGGGAGAAAAAAAAGUAAUAAUAUAGUUAUAAAUUUUUUUUGUACAAACUGAUAUAUCAUGACUUAAUUGGUUGGAUUAGAUAUCGUUUAGUUCACACAAUUUAUUUUUAAUUAUUUUAUAUUUUUAUUCAACCAAUAAAUUAAUAUCAAAUCAGUUUGUACACAAUAAGUUUGCAUAAGAAUUUGUGGGUGUUGAUGCGAGAUUCUAGUUUUCUGCUCGUCCACGACCAAGAGCUCUCCUCAACUAACUCGUCCAUGACCAGAAUCUCUCCUCGUAAGACUUCCUCUCCGCAGACUCCUGUGUACACAGAGACAGGUCAGAGCACGCUAGGUAUUUUCCCGGCGUAAACCCUCCGACGCUCAAGUCAAAAACGUACGUUUUUCCUUUCUGGGAAACACGGUGAUGGGUGUCGAAGCCAACAAAAAUAAAUUCCUACUCUAAAUAAAUUGUGUAUAGUGAUUGAGUAGGUUCGUGUCCACAGAGAUCGGUAAUUAUUUAAAUCCUUUUGAAACGUAAAACGUAAAAUGGGGGAAUUGUUGACAAUAAUAAAAAUCAAAUUAAAAAUAACAAGAAUGCAAAUUAAAGUUGUAAUUCAAAUUGGAGAAAGCUCUGGUUGAAGGAAUUAACUCAGCUUGAUUCGACUACUGAUCAUUGAUUCAAAUAUAGAUUAUUAUUACUCAUGAAUAGACCGGUUAUAGCUACUGAGACCCUCUAAUAGCCAAUCUCUCCUUAACUAGUCGAUAACCAAGGUACGACCGUUGGUUAUUUCCCUAAUCAAUAGACAACCCUAGAUACGAUCAUAGAAUUUAAUCAAUUGACAGCCUGAAAAACCAGAGAGACCCAAAUCCUAAUCAACACAUAUGAUGAUUCAUUUAAAUUAGAUUCUGCUGUACGGCCAAGGCGGAUGUACGGUACAGCAGUUUACUAGUGCAUAAAUUGCACUCUAACAAAUUCCCCCACACCAAGAUGAUGCUUGUCCUCAAGCAUAUAACUCAAGAUUAAUCCCAAAUCUCCACUCAAUUCUCAUCUCAACUCAUCCAAAAAUAGAAAUUAAGUCGAUCAACAUUCGAGAGACAAGGAUUUUUAAAGCAUAGAAUCUCAUAAGAUAGAAUAAGAACAUUCAACCACCAAGAAGAUCCAUUCAAAAUUCAAGUGCAACAAGAUUUAAUAGCCCUCUCAAUGACUUCACUCCAUGCACUCAAAGUGUUUAGGGUGUCAUUUAUUCACUCAAAUCAAAUCAAAGAAUGCUAUUACCAUAAGCUUGCUCAUAUAUCACAUCUCAAUCCACAAAACAUGAAUAAAAUGCAAAAAUCUAAGGGUCUUAAAAGGGUUGUAAUGGGGUUAAAUAGGUUAAAUGAAAAAGAAAGGUCUAUGAAAGAAAAAGGGAUCAAAAUGAGAAGAAUGAACUCAUUGAAUGAACUUAUGAUAUCAAAAUGCUUAUUUCUACUCAAGUCACCACGAAUGCAAACAUUUCUUUUUCUUUUUCUCUUUUUUUUUUGAUUUUUUUUUCCAAUUUUUCUUUUUCAAUUUUUUUUCUCUUUUUUUUCUUUUCUUUUUCUUUUUUUUUUGUUUGUUUUUUUUUUUUUCGAAUCAAACAAAAGAAACGAACCUUGCACAAUUGAAUUCAAGCAUAAUGCUUGUUGAUCUAAUUGAGAAACUUUAUUACAAGGUAGAAAAAGCAACAAAAUAUAUCCACACAAUGAGUCCAAAAAUCUCCUUAAAUUGAGGCUCAAAAAGAAAAAAAAUGGUUAAGUAGAUGGAGAGAAUUAGAUGGGUAAUGGUUAAGGCUCAAACAAAGGUAGCAAAUAAAGGUCUUCGGGUAAAGAAAAAGGAAAAUGCGAGAAUAGAAAAAUGGUAAAUGGUUUGCCCUUAUCAUUUUAAUGCAUAAAAUCCCGUAAUGUGGCUUCAACAUGCAUAAUAAAGCAAGUUCUAGAAUAAACAAACUAGGAUUGAUAUUCACAUAACAAAAAUAAUUAGAGCAAAGUGGUUGCUCAUAGGCUCAAAUCCUCACAAAGUUGGUAAAUUUGCCAUCAAAUCAUGUACACUCUUCAAAUGAAUCAACCAUCAAUAGUGGUGUAGAAUGAGAAGAAGGUAUGAGUGAAGCAGAAAAGAAAAGGUAAAAAUGAUAAGAAGUGAGAAAGAUGAAAAGUGAAAGAUAAAAUGUGAGUGAUGAAAGAGCAUGAUAGAAUAAAAAUAGAUGUAAAUAAUUUGAGAUAGAUGGGAAAAAAAAAGUAGUGAGAAAGAAAAGAAAAGAUAAAAUAAUAAUAUAUAAAGCAUACUAACUCCAAAAUCAUUUAAGGAUGAGUAGAGUGAAAAAAAAAGAUAAGUAGAGUGAAAACAAUAAUUCCAGACAUCAAUAAUGCAAAAAUCCCUCCCCCACACCAAGAAAUUACAUUGUCCCCAAUGUAAGAUAAUCAAAGCUCACAUAAAAAUUAAAGCGUAAGGAUAAAAGAUUAAAGGCAAAAAGAAACUUCCCUGAAUUNNNNNNNNNNNNNNNNNNNNNNNNNNNNNNNNNNNNNNNNNNNNNNNNNNNNNNNNNNNNNNNNNNNNNNNNNNNNNNNNNNNNNNNNNNNNNNNNNNNNNNNNNNNNNNNNNNNNNNNNNNNNNNNNNNNNNNNNNNNNNNNNNNNNNNNNNNNNNNNNNNNNNNNNNNNNNNNNNNNNNNNNNNNNNNNNNNNNNNNNNNNNNNNNNNNNNNNNNNNNNNNNNNNNNNNNNNNNNNNNNNNNNNNNNNNNNNNNNNNNNNNNNNNNNNNNNNNNNNNNNNNNNNNNNNNNNNNNNNNNNNNNNNNNNNNNNNNNNNNNNNNNNNNNNNNNNNNNNNNNNNNNNNNNNNAAAAAAAAUGAAAGAUAAAAUGUGAGUGAUGAAAGAGUAUGAUAGAAUAAAAUAGAUGUAAAUAAUUUGAGAUAGAUGGGAAAAGAGUAGUGAGAGAGAGAGGAAAAGAAAAUUAAUAAUAUAUGAAGCAUACUAACUCCAAAAUCAUUUAAGGAUGAGUAGAGUGAAAAAAAAGAUAAGUAGAGUGAAAACAAUAAUUCCAGACAUCAAUAAUGCAAAAAUCCCUCCCCCACACCAAUAACUUACAUUGUCCCCAGUGUAAGAUAAUCAAAGCUCACAUAAAAAUUAAAGCGUAACUUCCCUGAAUUGUGAGCUUUGAUCCUCAUAACGUCUAUGGGCUUGGCGGGAAUGGUGGGAUAAAUCCCACACUCUUGAAGUAUGCGGCCAAAUUCUGCUCCAUCUUGUCACGGAUUUCGAUUCACGCGGCUGGAAUGCAGGUCGUAGGCUGGUUGCGGACUAUUGCUGCUCGACUGGAGCUUGCGGGUACACGGCUGCUGGUUCAGUUGCGCGCGGAUGGGACUGAUGCUGCGAACUGGUGACGCUGGAUCUGCGUGCUGCGGCUGUUGCUGCGCGCUGGGGGAUUGCUGGUUGCGCGCUGGUGAUGCUGGUUGCGUGCGGGAUGCUGCGCGCUACUGGGGCUGGUUCUGCUGCGCUAGUGGGUUGCUGGAUCUGCGCGCUGGGGUUGAUUGCACGUGAGAGCUGGGCUGACGUUGGUUCUGCGCGCUGCUAGGCAAAGGCUGGAUCUGCGCUCGCGGGUUGCUGCGUGGCUGCUUGGUGAAGGCUGAAUAUGCGCACGCGUGGGAUGGAGCUAGCUGCGCGCACAGUUGCUACUACUGCUGCGUGGGCUGGUUCGCGAUGGUGGAUCGCUGGUGCUGCGUGGCUGCUCGGUGAAGGCUGGAGAAGAAAACCAAUUAUGUGAAUUAGGGAUUUUGUGAACAGUAAAUUUUUUUUUUUUCGUUUUUUUUUUCAAAUAAAAAAAAUAUAUAUAUAUAAAAGAAAGAAAAGAAAGGAAAAGAAAAAAAAAGUUUUUUUUUUUAAUUUUCAAAUAAAUAAAUAAUUUUUUUUUUAUGAUGAACCACUUUGAGACACAAAAAAAAAAAAAAAAUUUCAGAAGUACUUUUCUAAUAAGCACGUGGGCACGCCUUAAAACCAUUUUACUUUAAAAAUGACAGAAGUACUUAUUAGUUAAGACGUGGGCACGCCUUAAAACCAUUUUACUUUAAAAAUCACAGAAGUACUUAUUAGUUAAGACGUGGGCACGCCUUAUCAAAAAUUUUCUUCUGACCAAAAUAAGCAAACACAUUAUUUUUUUUUAAAAUCUGAAUCAAAAUUAAAAGAAGAUACAACAAAAACCGAAAUAAAUAAAUCAUUUGGGUUGCCUCCCAAAAAGCGCCUUUGUUUUAUGUCUUUGGCUAGACACAUUUAUGCAUCAAUCUCCAUAAUUGGGACUCUCGAGAGCCACAUCCUCCACAAUAUUCACCGAAAAACCUUCAUAAAAAGGUUUUAAGCGAUGACCAUUAACCUUAAAAACUUUGUCAGAUGUCAGACUUCGAAUCUCAACUGCACCAUGAGAAAAAACAUUAGUAACAAUAAAAGGUCCAACCCAGCAAGAACGUAAUUUACCUGGAAAAAGUUUAAGUUUAGAAUGAAAAAGAAGAACUUUUUGACCAACAGAGAACUCCUUUCUCAAAAUCAUUCUAUCAUGAAAUGUCUUCGUCUUUUUCUUGUAAAAAAACUUCCUGCACUAUAGAGUUAAUAACAUCUACAGAGAAUACUGAAUGUUCAUCACUAUGAUAUUUCAUGGCAUCAUUCAUAUUGAAUUCUAUAACCUCUCCAUCAAACUCCAUAGUGAGAGUCCCUUUAUGUACAUCCAUUUUAGUCCUAGCAGUCUUAAGAAAAGGUCUUCCUAGCAAAAUUGGGACACAAGCUCAUCUUCUACAUACUUUGUCACUUUCUUACUAGGCUCUUGCAACUCUUUCCCACUUCUAAGGAUGACAGCACUAACGUUUUGCUUUGGAUUCACAUCAGAUUGUGAAGGCAAUCUCCCUAAUACUUGAGACUCCAGACGGCUCACUGUAGUUGCCAAUUGACUCAUUUGGUUCUCCAAGUUCUGAAUGCUUGCUGUAGUUGCCUGUUGAAAUUGUUGUGUGUUAGUCGCAAGUGAUUUAACAAUUUCUUCGAGAGAUAUACCUGACUUGGAGUUUGACUGUGGAGGUGCUGGUUGUCUUGGUGGAUACUGUUGUGGGAAUCUUGACUGCCUAACUCCAUAGCUAAAGUUGGGAUGAUCCUUCCAUCCUGGAUUGUAUGUUUGUGCAUAAGGAUCAUACCUCCUCUGAGGCAUGCCUGGAAAUCCUCCAACUGCAUUGGCUUGUUCAACGGGUUCUUCUUGAAGUGUAGGACACAUAUCAGUUGAAUGACCCAUAUUGUAACAAAUGCCACAAGUCUUCACCUGUUGCACAUUACCUACAACAAACUUUUCCACAAGAGAAGUAAGUUUAUCUAAACGUUGUUCAACAGAAGAAAUAUUUACCUCAUUCACAUUCCUUAAGGUGGCAUCUUGUCUGCUGCCAAAUUGUUGUGCGUUGGCAGCCAUAUUUGAAACAUGAUUCCAAUUAAAUUAAUCUUUUUAUAAGAUGACUAAUAAAAGACAAAAGUAGAAGCUUUGAUGAAUGAACGAUGACCAAAACUUUUGUAAAAGCGGAUGCCGAUAAAAUAAACAAAAGGCACUUUAAAAAGAAACUAAAGUGCGAUCAUCAAAGUAAGAUCAAUAAUGACUCGAUUUAUUUCACCUAUUCUGUCCACAAAUGAUGCUUCGCUAUUACAAGGUCCGAAUGGACAUUAUUUACAAAUUGUUCUUAUGUUUCACAGAAAAAUGAAAAACCGUUCAUCAUCAUAUAAUUAUGAAAUAAAUAAAUUUUAUUAAUGGAUUAUGGGGAUAUGUUAAUGUUAGGGAUAUGUUCAAAUCAUCAUAUAAGUUACUAAACGCUUCAACAAGAACAAGAAUUAAUGAGUUAAAAGUAAAAAAAAAAAAUUUUAAAAAAAGUUAAAUAAAUAAAACUUAGAAGUAAAGAAUGUUAUUUGCAAUCACCAAAAUGAAAACAGUGGAACCCUGUUUUUCCUCUCAUUUCUCUUUCUCUCUUUUUCAUUUGUUGGGAAGUGUCGCCUAAAACACUUCCUCUGCUAGGUGGAAUUAUUGGCUUGAAGAGAUGAGUUCUUGUCACAAGCACAAAUUUUAUCUGUACAUUAUUUCAUUUUAAAUGAUGAGUUCUUGUCACAUGAUCAUUACUUUUUUUGUUUUGAUUUGGUUAGUUCAUGAUAACAAACAAAUUAUUUUGCAUCACAUUAUGGUAAAAAGUUGCCCUCUUUGUUACUUCCACAGCUAUAUAGUUUAAUAUUUUGUAAUAAGAUCACAAAGUGCAUGGGAACCACUGUUCGAGUACUUCAGCCUAAUAUGAAGAUCUAUUGAAAAUUUUCCUGAUGUCAUGAUAUUAAACAAAAAAAGGUACCUCUUUUACUAAUUAAUAAGAGAAGUUUUGACCGAUUUCAUGUGACUCUCUUUUACUAAUUAAUAAGAGAAUUUUUGGCCUUAUAUCCUUGCUGUGGCGUUAGACUGUUGGUCAUUUUGAUUGUUUCCUACUUUCCGUUUACGCCAGCUGUAACAUUGUAUUAUCACCAUUUUAGCCAUUUAAAUGAAAUUUAUUUUUGUCAAAAAUAAACUGCUGUACCGUACAUCCGCCUUGGCCGUACAGCAGUAUGUCUACGCUGGUUCAAAUCCAGCUCGGCCCAAUAAUUCGCUGAUCCAACAGGAAAUGAUAUAACCCCCUUUGUUUUCCAGAAAUGCCAGAUACGAAAGACUCAAGAAUCAAAAGAGUCCAAUUCUCCGAUACUGCUGUACCGUACAUCCGCCUUGGCCGUACAGCAGAAUAUUAAAUUAAAAGUUAUAUUUAAUAAUAAUUAUUAUUAUUAUUAUAAAGCAAAAGUCAAAAAGCAAAACUCAAAAACAAUUGCAAAAGCUGCUGUACCGUACAUCCGCCUUGGCCGUACAGCAGAUGAAACUCCUUAAGAUGUUUAUGAGGAUCUUCACCUGCAAAACCAUGAAACUUGGGUAAUAAAUGAAUAAGACCAGACUUUAAUUCAAAAUUUACCUCCAAGUCUACAUAUUGAAUGCAGAGUGGUUGUUGAUUCAAGUCUGGUUCAGCUAACUCUCUAAGAGUUCUUUCUACAGGUGCAGGUCUAUCCAUCACUUGUUCUUCUGAAUCGCUAGAUGAUUCAACUAAAUCAGGCACUGUAUCUGUUUCAGAAAGUAAAGGCGACGAGGAUCGUUACUUAGCUCGCUUCGUCUGCUGUCUCAGCUAGCGAGCUGUCUUCUCAAUUUCAGGAUUAAACGAAAGUGUACAUGUACGAGAAGAACGAACCAUACACCAAGUAAAACAUAAAAAGGAUUAAAUAAAUGACACCAAUCCCCAGCAACGGCGCCAAAAUUUGAUGGGUGUCGAAGCCAACAAAAAUAAAUUCCUACUCUAAAUAAAUUGUGUAUAGUGAUUGAGCAGGGUCGUGUCCACAGAGAUCGGUAAUUAAUUAAAUCCUUUUGAAACGUAAAACGUAAAAUGGGGGAAUUGUUGACAAUAAUAAAAAUCAAAUUAAAAAUAACAAGAAUGCAAAUUAAAGUUGUAAUUCAAAUUGGAGAAAGCUCUGGUUGAAGGAAUUAACUCAGCUUGAUUCGACUACUGAUCAUUGAUUAAAAUAUAGAUUAUUAUUACUCAUGAAUAGACCGGUUAUAGCUACUGAGACCCUCUAAUAGCCAAUCUCUCCUUAACUAGUCGAUAACCAAGGUACGACCGUUGGUUAUUUCCCUAAUCAAUAGACAACCCUAGAUACGAUCAUAGAAUUUAAUCAAUUGACAGCCUGAAAAACCAGAGAGACCCAAAUCCUAAUCAACAAACACAUACGAUGGUUCAUUUAAAUUAGAUUGUUUAUUCUCAUAACACAACGCACUGCUAGUUAUUUGUCACAAACAUUAAAAUCUUCAUACAAUGAAUCUUUUAAUUGACAAUAGAUUAAGUUGAUAAUNNNNNNNNNNNNNNNNNNNNNNNNNNNNNNNNNNNNNNNNNNNNNNNNNNNNNNNNNNNNNNNNNNNNNNNNNNNNNNNNNNNNNNNNNNNNNNNNNNNNNNNNNNNNNNNNNNNNNNNNNNNNNNNNNNNNGAAUUUUAAAAAUUAUCCUAAGCAAACCACUGCUGUACGGCCAAGGCGGAUGUACGGUACAGCAAAAUCCCCCCUUUUUCACAAUAGAUUCCUCCCUUAAAUACUCUCUCUCUCUUCUCUUUUAGAAUUCUAUUUAAAAUAAAAUACUAAUAUCUGAAAUAUUAAAUUCGUAAUUACAAAAAUAACCAAAAAUACAAAACACGUUAAACUAAAAACUGCAGGUCCGCAGUUGACAGCACGCGCCCACGCCUUAUCAACAAAAUUCUUCUGCCGCUCAUAAUUUCUCCAAGGGAACAAUCAUCCUUAAACAUCAUCUUAUAGCUCAAUUUUAUCAUCAAUCAAUAGAAUUGCACCUACAAAAGUAAAACAUAAGUAAAUCACUAUUAUUAAGUGCAAAACAUUGAUAUUAAGGGAAGUAAAUAAUGCAAAACUAGUGCAUAAAUUGCACUCUAACACACGGCCACUAAUAUUAUGGCUCUUUUAUGAUCUCUCAAUAGAAAGCUCUUUUCCUAAGUUCUAAUCUCAAAAAGUCUAACCCGUUUACCUUCGUUGGUUACCUUUUUAUAGUCUUCCUUUGAAUCUGGCCCUUCCUGCAAUCCACGUCCAUCACCUCUCUCAACUCUCGGAAGUGGGUGCGUCAUUAUCGUAGUUGUGGCUGAGUGGACUUCGUGCCAUGAUUCUCGAGCAGGAAUGCACGUCUUGCCAACCGUCAUUGACCGGGUCUCCCCCCCUCAACCUCUAGCAGGAAUGGCCUUAUGCUAAAACACAACACCCGAUGAAUACAAUAAUAUUUUCAUAAAGAAAUAAGACAACUCAAUAACAAAAUUAAUUUAAAAUAGAGUAGAAAGAUAAAACCUGAAAAUUUAAUAUGAAAUCACAAACUAAGUUUGAUGAUUGGAGGUUUUAUGACUAUAGAAAAUAUAAAAAAAUAAACUAUUAAUUCUUUUUCUAGUAAUGCAUUUAUGGUAUCAUUGUUUUAGGAGAAAAUAUUGCUAACAGGUAAGUUCGCAAAUGUAGGUUUUUUUUAAAAAAAAAUAGAGGUAGGAAUUAACAAUGUUUUAAUUAAAAUUUAUUAAUUUAACGUUACACAGAAAUUUUAUAGGAAUUAAAACUAUUAAUUCUAGAGAGAAUUUAUUGGAAUUUUGAUAAUUCAUUUAAGAAAAGAUAAUUAUAAAGCAAUAAUAAAUUAAACUAAUCAUGAUUGAGUUAGUUAGAACUUAGAAAUUUAUAUAUUUUUACUAUAAAAUAAUAGAUUUAAAAUAAAUAUAAAGCCUUAAUCUAUAACAGGGUCUUAAUCAAUUGUCUAGUUGUCUAGAGAAAAAGCCACUCCUAUAUAAUUAUAAAGUGCGGAUGCCCACAUUUUUUUUAAUGUGAACACGCUCUUAAACUAUGCGGUUUAAAAGAAUUAAAAAUAAAUUCUCUUAAAUUCCAUAAUUUAACAUCGUGUUUACACAUAAAAAAAAUAAGAGCGCCCGUACUAGAUAAAGAGUCCAAGAGUAAUAUUGUGCGUGUGUAUUGGGGAUAAUUUAAUUAUUGAGAAAUUAAGUCAGAACCAAAAUCUCUAAUUUCGGAAGCUAAUAAUAAUUGGUUAACUGAUUUGAUAGUUAAAGAUUUACAAUUAGUGAAAUGUAACGUUUAUUAAUUAAUUUUUUGAUUUAACAUUUAUUCGAUCAAAGUCAUCUUAUGCUUUAGUUGAUUAUCUGAUCUAAUAUUUGUGUGUGAUAGUUGAUCUAAUCGUACGUGUGUAAUCAGUUGAUGUCGAAGGCAAUACUUGGAUAUAUUAGCUGGAGAUAAGAUCAUCGAUCCUUAUGUCGUUUAGCACGAAAAUGAAGUGCACAGCAUAUCCAAACAUGCUCCUUUUGAUUAGACUUUUCACAUUUUCAUGAUCCUCCGACAUCUAAUCGCAUUGAUUUUAGCUAAAUGAGGUGGCUACUUUUCUUUUUUCUUGUUUCCAAAGAGUGAAGAAGAUUCUGACAAUGCCGCACCCAUCAUAUUAAUUGGUACUUUAAAAACAAAGGCCCUAAGGUAUUUUGACGCUUAAUCCACUAUAUUAAUUAAAAUUUUAUGUUAGUUGGUUAAUUGGAAUUACUAAUUGCAUAUUAUCGAAAAAGAAUUAUCAUAAAGUUUUAACAAUCUUUUAGCUUGUAACAUUUUCAAAAUUAAACUGAAGCAUGUAACACUUACGAACGAGUUCUGAAUUAUGGCAAUUAACAGCUACAAGAGUUGGAGUGAGUUUUGAAGAAUAAACAAAGACUAGGAAAUAAAGUCACGGCAGAGAUCAACAUGUGAUAUUUCGGAGUCUUUCCUGAAAACCUGCAGAAAAAAUAUUGCCCAUAAAUCCAUUAUUUCUGUGAGAAAAUAUUAAAUAUAUGUAGAUGAAUUUAUUAUUAACUCCCUGCCGUGCAUUACUUGCCCCAGUGUUCGCAAUAUUAUAUAAUUCUUUUUUGAUCACCUAUUUCACUAAAUCCUUAUCGUACUUGUAUUGUUUUUCAUUUUUGAUGUUACAAAGAAUAUGAGAGAUUAUUAGUUUCUCCCCAUUAAAAUUAAUAUACACCACUUACUCUUUUAUAGUUUUCGUAACUGUCAAUCAUCCUUUUGAUAGCAUAAUUUUGCAGUUUUUUUUUGUUUGUUUUCAAAUACACUUUUAUUCAUAUUUAUUAUAAAUUAAAUAAAUUGUAUGAAUGGAGAUUAAAAAAAAAUUAAGUACUAAAAAUAAGAAAUCUAUGUUUUGAUGUAAAAAAAUUAAUAAUAAUAUUUUUUUAUACUUUUCAUUAUUUUUAACUAUUUUUCUUAUAAUAAAUAUAUAUUUUAUAUUUCCAAGAUAAAUCAUAAAAUAAACUACCCAUUUAGCCCAUUUUUCCUUUGAAUUUUUUUAUGUUAGGGGAAUGUUUAGAUAUUAUAAAAAUUUUAAAGAACUAUGUGGUAUAUAUUAAUUUGAGCAUGGAAGAAUUUGGCAACUUCCCAAAAAAAUAAUGAAUAACUUUAUAGUGCGUUUACUAAAUGGGAUUAGAAAUCAACUGGAAUCAAAAUGAGCUGGAUUCAAUAUGAGAAAUUGAAAUUAGAAUAAUUUGUUUACUUGAGCUGUAAGAAUCGAAAUUGUAUUGAGCUGUAUUAUCAUCAAUGUUGUUUACUUUAUCUUGGAAUCAGAAUAAAAAUGAAUUAGAUAGUUUCAAAUGACUAAAAUACCCUUAAUCAACUGUUAUCAUAAUUAUUAUUUUGCAUUUUAAUUAUUGUGAUUAUUAUUGUUCAAAAAUAAUAAUAAUGAUAAUUAUUAUUAUUAUUAUUAAUUAUCAUUAAUAACAACAUUAUUAUUAUUAAAAUUAAUAUGUUAACUAAUUGUAAUACAUUUAUCAAUAACAACAACAAUAAUAAUAAAUUUGUAAUUUCUAACAAUCAUUACAAAAUUGUAUUUUAAUUAUUAUGAUUAUUUUUAUUACAAAAUUAUGAUGAUGAUGAUGAUAAAAAGUAUUAUAAUCGAUAUAAUAAUAAUAAUAAUCAUCAUCAUCAUCAUCACUCUUCCAUUUCUCAUUUGCAAAUUGAGGUAGACCCCAUGAUUUUGAUUUUAAUUCCCACCUCUAUUAGACAUAGUAAACGACAUUAAUAAUUUCGAUCCUGAAUUUCGAUUUCCUAAUCUGAUAAGUAUACACAUCAUUAGAGAUGCAGUUGUUUCAAAUAUCAUCCACAUAUCUCUUGAGAAUUAAAAUUCAUUAGAAAUUCAAGAGCAAAAUCUUGGUGAACUCAACAAUAGGUCUAAGAAAAAUCAAAGAGUUGGCUUAAUUAUGACUUAUGAGAGAAGGAUUUUGCUAGCUUACAAACUAUGUAAAAUAUAGCCCCUUAUAUAAUGAGUGAUUGGCCCCGCCAUGGGUGGCUUUAAGUAUAGGCGAACAAAUCGGUCGCCUAAGACCCCAAAUUUUAGAAAGGCUUUAUUUUUUUAGUAUUAGUAAUAAUUCUCUAGUUAGUAAAGAUUUUUUAAAAAAAAAUUAUGUGUGGUAGAAAAGUCUAUUAGACAUCUCUUUAAUUAAUAAUUAUCCUAUAAUUAAUAAUUAUUAUGUUUUAUAUAAAAAAACUAUAAUUAGUUAUCUUAUUGUUAAAGAGAUAUAAUUAAUAAUAUUGUCUAACCAUUAAUUUAUUCAUUAUUAGUUUUUCCAAUAAAAAUAAGUAAAUUUUUUACCUUUUCAACUUCUUAAAAAGAUCAAUUAUUCAACAUUAGAAUUUUUGGCUUUGAGUAUUCCUUUUAAUUUCUAUUAAAAAUCUUAUAAUUUAGAAAAUCAUAGAUGAAAAAUUUCUUGUUCUCUUCUUUACAAUGAAGAUUAUUACAUGAAUUAGUUCAUUCAAAAAAGAAAAAAAAAUAGUUACUUGAAAUACAAAAUCCAUAUCCAUUAUCUAACCACCAAUUUAUGAUCUCAACUUUCUAUGUGCUACUAUUUUAAAUAUUUUAUUUAAAAAUAAUAUUGUUCUCAUUUAUUCGAUUGUUUAUUUUUAUAGAAUUUCUAAUGGUAAAUUUAGAUUUUGUUUUUGAAAAUUUUUAGAAUCUUCUUGAUUAUUUGUUAAAAUUCAAGAACUAAAACAGAAAUAAAUUUUCAGUUUUUUAUUUUAUUUUAUUGAGUAUUGAAGUUGCUAAAUAAAAAGAGGUCUCAUUAAAAAAAAAAAUUCACCUAAGGACAUGAUACUCUAAAGCUGGCCCUGGGCUCCACCUUUAAUUGCUUGUUGGCCCACCUCUAGUUGUUUUAGCUUGGAUGUACCUUACAUAAACUGUAAGGUAGCAAGACCCCGAAAUAUGAUGAGAUAUGUUCUGGUUCUGAAGAGAAGCGUACGUCAUGUAUGACGCAGAUCGAAAUGACAUUGCUUUUUUGCAUUGACGUUGAAUCCAAUUUCAUUAACUGACGUGGGGACUCCAUGCACGUGAUAACCUGAUGGGACACAAUAUUAUUUAACAUUCUUUGCAUCUUUUUCAAUUUAUCAGCAGCCUUCGCUAUCUAUAAAUAGGGCGAAGCUGCAAUGUUCUUGUCACCGCGUCUCAAGUAACAUCACAGUGAUAAAAUCAAGCUCAGUAACUUCUUCGGAAGAGAAAACAAUGGCUUCAUCUAAGAUCACUUUGAUUUUUCUUACUUGUUUUCUCUUUGAUCUUGUUCUUUUGCCAUCUCUUCAGAUGAUCACUCAAGCGAGUAAACCGAUUGGGAGAGAAAAAAAAAGUAAUAAUAUAAUUACAAAUUCUUGUACAAUUUUUUUUUUAUAAACUAAUGUAUCAUGAUUUAAUUGGUUGGAUUAGAUAUCUCUUAGUCCACAUUAUUUUUUUUAAUUAUUUUAUAUUUUUAUUCAACCAAUGAAUUAAAAUUAAAUCAGUUUGUACAAAAUAAGUUUGAAAAAGAAUUUGUGGCUAUAUCACCACUAAAAAAAAAAGAGAAAAAAGAAAAUGAUGCUUUCAUUUUCUUCAUUUCCACGCAUGCAUGAAAUUAUUUGCAUUUUCGCUUUCUAUAGUAUGUGUGCUGUGCGUAUUAAUUUCUAAAUCUGCAUAAUAAGCAUGCAACGUCAUUUGUUAGCUAAUAUUUAUUAGUUACUGCACGCCCACACACUCAUAAAUGAUACAUUCCUACAACAACAGUAGAUUAGAAGUCAUAACAUUCAACAUAUCUACCUUAAUUCAUGUUACGAGUGAAAAUACAAUCUCACAUCAACUUAUAAUAAAUUAUUAUACUAAAAUAUGCAAGUUAGAGGUUAUUCUCAACUCUAGAAAUUGUAUAUGAGUUAGUUUUUGAAUUUCUAUGGAGUAUAUACUAUACAAUAAGAUAUAAUCCUACAUAGUUCAAAGCAAGCAUAAUGCGACUAUUAAAUUAUUUUUAUUAGUCUCACACGUGCACCCGCGCGCACGGGUGUGUGUGUAUAUAGUGAGGAUUUACUUAAUUAUUGUAUUCUCAUAACUACCAAUUAUAUAUGUAAGUAUGUUUGCUCAAAUAAAAAAUCAGAUCGUGAGAAAAUCUUGAUACUAUAUAUGAAUCCUUUCAUGAUCUGAUCAUAUUUGAACUUUGAAGAAUCUUUUGACACAUAUACGCUUUUAUUUAUGUAUGGUCAUGAUUUACGUAAUUACUAUAUUCUCAAUUAUUAACUACCAAUGAUGAAAGUAUGUUUGCUCUGAUGAAAAAUUAGAUCAUUUAUAUUGUUCUCGUUAUGAAGGAAGUCUAGAAUACAUCAAAACUUCAAAAGUAACGCAACUAAUUAAUAUAUAUAUGAUAUGUGUAAUUGAAUUUAAUAUAAUCACCACUUGUAUGGUGGCUUUUCAAAAUAAAUGCACACAUAUCAGAGCAUCAUUUACUUAUUAUAUGAUUAAAAUGAUAUCUUUAAAAUAUUCUAAAAUUUCUCCAUGUAAUCACUGUGAUUUUUAUGUUUUCACUAAUCCAUUUAUUACUAUUAUAUUCUAUUGCAGAGGAAAAUGUGAAUCUCAACGGCAUCGAGGAGGCAAAGUAUGGGGGCUGCGGAUAUGGGUAACCAAACGGAAAUUAUGGAGUCGCGGUGGAUUUGGAGGGUACCCACCACGAAGAGGAUAUUGCCGGCACGGAUGCUGCCGCACCUACCGCUAUUCAAAUGACUGCUACAGUUGCUGCUCCCAUGCUGCCGACAAGCCCGACGCCGAGUUUGAAGAUGAUGAGAACUAAUUAAUAUCCUCUCCAAUAUUUGCUUCAGUUGUACCUUUGGUUUGUGAGCUUUUGUAUUGAAUGAAUAAGGCCAGUGAUGAGUCUGAACUUUUGUGCUCACGUGAAAUGCCAUGUUUGAAUAGAGCUUAAUUAGUUCAUUAUUAGUUUAUUAGGAGCAACUUCUUCUAGUCUUGUUUCAACCAAUCAAAAGCAAGUACUCCCUGGCUCCAAAUCAAAAGACUAUAGGACAGAGUUCAUACAAGCAUUAAACCCAAAUCCGUUGAGCAGUAAUUAUCCCCUCCCAAAAAUAUAUUUUAUACUUUCACCAUAUAUAAAUCUAGAACAUACAUAUAACUAUGUAUAUAACAAUAUCAUAUUAAUUAACAAAGCUAGUAGAAGUAGAAAUAUUGUAUCAAGAAAAUAUAAAAGUUCUUUUAACCUUGAAAAAUUGAGAAAUUUAUUAAAUAAAGGGUAGAGAUACACCUAAUCAAGGGGCAUAAUGAGCCUUGCCCCUUAAGAUGACUAAGAAACUGAUAUACGAAAGUAAAAAAUUAACAGAGAAAGGACUAUGGAGAUAGCUAUCAAAAACAUUAAUGAAGGAAUCCGUUGGGAUUAUUAAACAACACGUGAUUUAUAUCCCAAGAAAGAUGGUCAAGCCAAGUAAAAUCAGAAAAAUCCACAGUCAAAUUAACUAGACAGUCAACAAUACUAUCAGCUUCCCAAUUAAGUGUGAGAAACCCAAUAAUGUAUUCUUUCAACAAAUGACAGUAGUUCAGCCACAUAUUACUGAUGGUAUAAGGAGGAAGCAAAGAUAUAUUGUUGAACAAGUACAAGUAAUAAAGGAAACAGACAACUCAAUGCAACCAAUGCACAGAUUGAUUAACAAGAUCAUGCGCAAAGAAUGAUGAUCAACAGGAAAUUAAUCAAGAAAUUAACCUAUCUCUAUGUACAAGAAACAUAAAAGAUAUAAAAAACACAAAAGGGUUUAAUUAGUGUUUAAGCCAAGAACUUGGCUUACUUCCACCAAGGAACAAUCAAUACUACUUUAUUAAUGAAUCAGUUGUUUGUUUACGGAGAAUUACGAAGAAGGAAUACAUCUGGAGCCCCUGAUUAUGGUCUCAGCUACUUUAUUUUGUGCUAAGCAUUUGAAAAAAGCCCGCAAUUUCUGCCGCUAUGUAGUUGUUGUAACAGCUUUGUUAAUGUAACCAAACCAGCACUUAAUUUGGAGCCAAAACUAAUAGCAGUUAACGCUCAUUUGACUGGCGUUUGACUAAUCUAAGUCAAGCGUGUGGCCCAUCAUAGUUAAUUACACACAAAACGCAGUCGUUUUCAUAUUCACACAGAUUCCACAAUUUAUUAUUAUACGUACAUUCAUGCGAAGGUUCAUAUAUAUAUAUAUAAACGCAUAACAAACUUAAUUGAAUUUUAUUUAUUAAUAUAGCUGCCGCUAUGAAUCUCGUAAGUCGUGCCUACACUGUUCUUCAAAGAAGCGUAGAAUCGAAAUGAAAUUUGAAGCUGUAUUUUUAAUUCAACCUUUGACUUUAUUGGGCAAUUCCUAUUGAUAUAUUGGAUUAUGUAGAGAACAUGAUGAGCCCACCGAUUUUCAAAAGUAAUUGAAUCGCCACACCAGCAAAUUACACAAAUAUGCAUGCACGCCCACCGACUCGAAUUUUUCUGCGAACCUACUACUUCUCACUUCUCAGGCGAUCGAUUCAAAAACCCAUGGCAAAAUUUUGAAACGACCUUUCAAGUUUGCACCUAUAAAUACAAACAACACCCAACUUAUGUUUCAACAAGAUCAAAAACUUCAGACCCUCUGACUUUACAUAUUACUAUAAAGCAAAAGAAGGCAGCAUAUAUAAGAGCAAAAUGAGUGUGGAAGUGUUAGAUAGUGCCACAAUUGUAAGCUUUGUGGAAGAUGAAGAAGCAUUCAACAACUCGAUACGAAACCGUUUUGCCCAUCUUGAUACAGAUCAUGAUGGUCUCCUUUCUUAUGCAGAAAUGAUGCAGGAGCUCAAGAGUCUGAGGGUCUUUGAGACCCAUUUUGGCAUCGACGAGAAACCAGACCCAGAAGAGCUUGCUAGUGUUUACAACUCUCUGUUUGUCCAAUUCGAUCAUGACUCAAAUGGCACGGUGGAUUUGGAGGAGUUCAAGGCAGAGACCAAGCAAAUGAUGCUUGCCGUGGCCAAUGGUCUCGGUUUCUUGCCUGUGCAAAUGGUUCUGGAAGAGGAUAGCAUCCUGAAGAAGGUUGUGGAGAAGGAAUCAACUGCCAAAGUGGUAGUUUAAAUUGCUUGUUCUGACUUCUGACUGAAUUAAUUGUUUGUUUUGUUUUCGUUUUUCACUUUUCUGCUGUACGGCCAAGGCGGAUGUACGGUACAGCAGCUCUUGAGAAUUAAAAUUCAUUAGAAAUUCAAGAGCAAAAUCUUGGUGAACUCAACAAUAGGUCUAAGAAAAAUCAAAGAGUUGGCUUAAUUAUGACUUAUGAGAGAAGGAUUUUGCUAGCUUACAAACUAUGUAAAAUAUAGCCCCUUAUAUAAUGAGUGAUUGGCCCCGCCAUGGGUGGCUUUAAGUAUAGGCGAACAAAUCGGUCGCCUAAGACCCCAAAUUUUAGAAAGGCUUUAUUUUUUUAGUAUUAGUAAUAAUUCUCUAGUUAGUAAAGAUUUUUUAAAAAAAAAUUAUGUGUGGUAGAAAAGUCUAUUAGACAUCUCUUUAAUUAAUAAUUAUCCUAUAAUUAAUAAUUAUUAUGUUUUAUAUAAAAAAACUAUAAUUAGUUAUCUUAUUGUUAAAGAGAUAUAAUUAAUAAUAUUGUCUAACCAUUAAUUUAUUCAUUAUUAGUUUUUCCAAUAAAAAUAAGUAAAUUUUUUACCUUUUCAACUUCUUAAAAAGAUCAAUUAUUCAACAUUAGAAUUUUUGGCUUUGAGUAUUCCUUUUAAUUUCUAUUAAAAAUCUUAUAAUUUAGAAAAUCAUAGAUGAAAAAUUUCUUGUUCUCUUCUUUACAAUGAAGAUUAUUACAUGAAUUAGUUCAUUCAAAAAAGAAAAAAAAAUAGUUACUUGAAAUACAAAAUCCAUAUCCAUUAUCUAACCACCAAUUUAUGAUCUCAACUUUCUAUGUGCUACUAUUUUAAAUAUUUUAUUUAAAAAUAAUAUUGUUCUCAUUUAUUCGAUUGUUUAUUUUUAUAGAAUUUCUAAUGGUAAAUUUAGAUUUUGUUUUUGAAAAUUUUUAGAAUCUUCUUGAUUAUUUGUUAAAAUUCAAGAACUAAAACAGAAAUAAAUUUUCAGUUUUUUAUUUUAUUUUAUUGAGUAUUGAAGUUGCUAAAUAAAAAGAGGUCUCAUUAAAAAAAAAAAUUCACCUAAGGACAUGAUACUCUAAAGCUGGCCCUGGGCUCCACCUUUAAUUGCUUGUUGGCCCACCUCUAGUUGUUUUAGCUUGGAUGUACCUUACAUAAACUGUAAGGUAGCAAGACCCCGAAAUAUGAUGAGAUAUGUUCUGGUUCUGAAGAGAAGCGUACGUCAUGUAUGACGCAGAUCGAAAUGACAUUGCUUUUUUGCAUUGACGUUGAAUCCAAUUUCAUUAACUGACGUGGGGACUCCAUGCACGUGAUAACCUCAUGGGACACAAUAUUAUUUAACAUUCUUUUCAAGUAACAUCACAGUGAUAAAAUCAAGCUCAGUAACUUCUUCGGAAGAGAAAACAAUGGCUUCAUCUAAGAUCACUUUGAUUUUUCUUACUUGUUUUCUCUUUGAUCUUGUUCUUUUGCCAUCUCUUCAGAUGAUCACUCAAGCGAGUAAACCGAUUGGGAGAGAAAAAAAAAGUAAUAAUAUAAUUACAAAUUCUUGUACAAUUUUUUUUUUAUAAACUAAUGUAUCAUGAUUUAAUUGGUUGGAUUAGAUAUCUCUUAGUCCACAUUAUUUUUUUUAAUUAUUUUAUAUUUUUAUUCAACCAAUGAAUUAAAAUUAAAUCAGUUUGUACAAAAUAAGUUUGAAAAAGAAUUUGUGGCUAUAUCACCACUAAAAAAAAAAGAGAAAAAAGAAAAUGAUGCUUUCAUUUUCUUCAUUUCCACGCAUGCAUGAAAUUAUUUGCAUUUUCGCUUUCUAUAGUAUGUGUGCUGUGCGUAUUAAUUUCUAAAUCUGCAUAAUAAGCAUGCAACGUCAUUUGUUAGCUAAUAUUUAUUAGUUACUGCACGCCCACACACUCAUAAAUGAUACAUUCCUACAACAACAGUAGAUUAGAAGUCAUAACAUUCAACAUAUCUACCUUAAUUCAUGUUACGAGUGAAAAUACAAUCUCACAUCAACUUAUAAUAAAUUAUUAUACUAAAAUAUGCAAGUUAGAGGUUAUUCUCAACUCUAGAAAUUGUAUAUGAGUUAGUUUUUGAAUUUCUAUGGAGUAUAUACUAUACAAUAAGAUAUAAUCCUACAUAGUUCAAAGCAAGCAUAAUGCGACUAUUAAAUUAUUUUUAUUAGUCUCACACGUGCACCCGCGCGCACGGGUGUGUGUGUAUAUAGUGAGGAUUUACUUAAUUAUUGUAUUCUCAUAACUACCAAUUAUAUAUGUAAGUAUGUUUGCUCAAAUAAAAAAUCAGAUCGUGAGAAAAUCUUGAUACUAUAUAUGAAUCCUUUCAUGAUCUGAUCAUAUUUGAACUUUGAAGAAUCUUUUGACACAUAUACGCUUUUAUUUAUGUAUGGUCAUGAUUUACGUAAUUACUAUAUUCUCAAUUAUUAACUACCAAUGAUGAAAGUAUGUUUGCUCUGAUGAAAAAUUAGAUCAUUUAUAUUGUUCUCGUUAUGAAGGAAGUCUAGAAUACAUCAAAACUUCAAAAGUAACGCAACUAAUUAAUAUAUAUAUGAUAUGUGUAAUUGAAUUUAAUAUAAUCACCACUUGUAUGGUGGCUUUUCAAAAUAAAUGCACACAUAUCAGAGCAUCAUUUACUUAUUAUAUGAUUAAAAUGAUAUCUUUAAAAUAUUCUAAAAUUUCUCCAUGUAAUCACUGUGAUUUUUAUGUUUUCACUAAUCCAUUUAUUACUAUUAUAUUCUAUUGCAGAGGAAAAUGUGAAUCUCAACGGCAUCGAGGAGGCAAAGUAUGGGGGCUGCGGAUAUGGGUAACCAAACGGAAAUUAUGGAGUCGCGGUGGAUUUGGAGGGUACCCACCACGAAGAGGAUAUUGCCGGCACGGAUGCUGCCGCACCUACCGCUAUUCAAAUGACUGCUACAGUUGCUGCUCCCAUGCUGCCGACAAGCCCGACGCCGAGUUUGAAGAUGAUGAGAACUAAUUAAUAUCCUCUCCAAUAUUUGCUUCAGUUGUACCUUUGGUUUGUGAGCUUUUGUAUUGAAUGAAUAAGGCCAGUGAUGAGUCUGAACUUUUGUGCUCACGUGAAAUGCCAUGUUUGAAUAGAGCUUAAUUAGUUCAUUAUUAGUUUAUUAGGAGCAACUUCUUCUAGUCUUGUUUCAACCAAUCAAAAGCAAGUACUCCCUGGCUCCAAAUCAAAAGACUAUAGGACAGAGUUCAUACAAGCAUUAAACCCAAAUCCGUUGAGCAGUAAUUAUCCCCUCCCAAAAAUAUAUUUUAUACUUUCACCAUAUAUAAAUCUAGAACAUACAUAUAACUAUGUAUAUAACAAUAUCAUAUUAAUUAACAAAGCUAGUAGAAGUAGAAAUAUUGUAUCAAGAAAAUAUAAAAGUUCUUUUAACCUUGAAAAAUUGAGAAAUUUAUUAAAUAAAGGGUAGAGAUACACCUAAUCAAGGGGCAUAAUGAGCCUUGCCCCUUAAGAUGACUAAGAAACUGAUAUACGAAAGUAAAAAAUUAACAGAGAAAGGACUAUGGAGAUAGCUAUCAAAAACAUUAAUGAAGGAAUCCGUUGGGAUUAUUAAACAACACGUGAUUUAUAUCCCAAGAAAGAUGGUCAAGCCAAGUAAAAUCAGAAAAAUCCACAGUCAAAUUAACUAGACAGUCAACAAUACUAUCAGCUUCCCAAUUAAGUGUGAGAAACCCAAUAAUGUAUUCUUUCAACAAAUGACAGUAGUUCAGCCACAUAUUACUGAUGGUAUAAGGAGGAAGCAAAGAUAUAUUGUUGAACAAGUACAAGUAAUAAAGGAAACAGACAACUCAAUGCAACCAAUGCACAGAUUGAUUAACAAGAUCAUGCGCAAAGAAUGAUGAUCAACAGGAAAUUAAUCAAGAAAUUAACCUAUCUCUAUGUACAAGAAACAUAAAAGAUAUAAAAAACACAAAAGGGUUUAAUUAGUGUUUAAGCCAAGAACUUGGCUUACUUCCACCAAGGAACAAUCAAUACUACUUUAUUAAUGAAUCAGUUGUUUGUUUACGGAGAAUUACGAAGAAGGAAUACAUCUGGAGCCCCUGAUUAUGGUCUCAGCUACUUUAUUUUGUGCUAAGCAUUUGAAAAAAGCCCGCAAUUUCUGCCGCUAUGUAGUUGUUGUAACAGCUUUGUUAAUGUAACCAAACCAGCACUUAAUUUGGAGCCAAAACUAAUAGCAGUUAACGCUCAUUUGACUGGCGUUUGACUAAUCUAAGUCAAGCGUGUGGCCCAUCAUAGUUAAUUACACACAAAACGCAGUCGUUUUCAUAUUCACACAGAUUCCACAAUUUAUUAUUAUACGUACAUUCAUGCGAAGGUUCAUAUAUAUAUAUAUAAACGCAUAACAAACUUAAUUGAAUUUUAUUUAUUAAUAUAGCUGCCGCUAUGAAUCUCGUAAGUCGUGCCUACACUGUUCUUCAAAGAAGCGUAGAAUCGAAAUGAAAUUUGAAGCUGUAUUUUUAAUUCAACCUUUGACUUUAUUGGGCAAUUCCUAUUGAUAUAUUGGAUUAUGUAGAGAACAUGAUGAGCCCACCGAUUUUCAAAAGUAAUUGAAUCGCCACACCAGCAAAUUACACAAAUAUGCAUGCACGCCCACCGACUCGAAUUUUUCUGCGAACCUACUACUUCUCACUUCUCAGGCGAUCGAUUCAAAAACCCAUGGCAAAAUUUUGAAACGACCUUUCAAGUUUGCACCUAUAAAUACAAACAACACCCAACUUAUGUUUCAACAAGAUCAAAAACUUCAGACCCUCUGACUUUACAUAUUACUAUAAAGCAAAAGAAGGCAGCAUAUAUAAGAGCAAAAUGAGUGUGGAAGUGUUAGAUAGUGCCACAAUUGUAAGCUUUGUGGAAGAUGAAGAAGCAUUCAACAACUCGAUACGAAACCGUUUUGCCCAUCUUGAUACAGAUCAUGAUGGUCUCCUUUCUUAUGCAGAAAUGAUGCAGGAGCUCAAGAGUCUGAGGGUCUUUGAGACCCAUUUUGGCAUCGACGAGAAACCAGACCCAGAAGAGCUUGCUAGUGUUUACAACUCUCUGUUUGUCCAAUUCGAUCAUGACUCAAAUGGCACGGUGGAUUUGGAGGAGUUCAAGGCAGAGACCAAGCAAAUGAUGCUUGCCGUGGCCAAUGGUCUCGGUUUCUUGCCUGUGCAAAUGGUUCUGGAAGAGGAUAGCAUCCUGAAGAAGGUUGUGGAGAAGGAAUCAACUGCCAAAGUGGUAGUUUAAAUUGCUUGUUCUGACUUCUGACUGAAUUAAUUGUUUGUUUUGUUUUCGUUUUUCACUUUUCUGCUGUACGGCCAAGGCGGAUGUACGGUACAGCAGCUCUUGAGAAUUAAAAUUCAUUAGAAAUUCAAGAGCAAAAUCUUGGUGAACUCAACAAUAGGUCUAAGAAAAAUCAAAGAGUUGGCUUAAUUAUGACUUAUGAGAGAAGGAUUUUGCUAGCUUACAAACUAUGUAAAAUAUAGCCCCUUAUAUAAUGAGUGAUUGGCCCCGCCAUGGGUGGCUUUAAGUAUAGGCGAACAAAUCGGUCGCCUAAGACCCCAAAUUUUAGAAAGGCUUUAUUUUUUUAGUAUUAGUAAUAAUUCUCUAGUUAGUAAAGAUUUUUUAAAAAAAAAUUAUGUGUGGUAGAAAAGUCUAUUAGACAUCUCUUUAAUUAAUAAUUAUCCUAUAAUUAAUAAUUAUUAUGUUUUAUAUAAAAAAACUAUAAUUAGUUAUCUUAUUGUUAAAGAGAUAUAAUUAAUAAUAUUGUCUAACCAUUAAUUUAUUCAUUAUUAGUUUUUCCAAUAAAAAUAAGUAAAUUUUUUACCUUUUCAACUUCUUAAAAAGAUCAAUUAUUCAACAUUAGAAUUUUUGGCUUUGAGUAUUCCUUUUAAUUUCUAUUAAAAAUCUUAUAAUUUAGAAAAUCAUAGAUGAAAAAUUUCUUGUUCUCUUCUUUACAAUGAAGAUUAUUACAUGAAUUAGUUCAUUCAAAAAAGAAAAAAAAAUAGUUACUUGAAAUACAAAAUCCAUAUCCAUUAUCUAACCACCAAUUUAUGAUCUCAACUUUCUAUGUGCUACUAUUUUAAAUAUUUUAUUUAAAAAUAAUAUUGUUCUCAUUUAUUCGAUUGUUUAUUUUUAUAGAAUUUCUAAUGGUAAAUUUAGAUUUUGUUUUUGAAAAUUUUUAGAAUCUUCUUGAUUAUUUGUUAAAAUUCAAGAACUAAAACAGAAAUAAAUUUUCAGUUUUUUAUUUUAUUUUAUUGAGUAUUGAAGUUGCUAAAUAAAAAGAGGUCUCAUUAAAAAAAAAAAUUCACCUAAGGACAUGAUACUCUAAAGCUGGCCCUGGGCUCCACCUUUAAUUGCUUGUUGGCCCACCUCUAGUUGUUUUAGCUUGGAUGUACCUUACAUAAACUGUAAGGUAGCAAGACCCCGAAAUAUGAUGAGAUAUGUUCUGGUUCUGAAGAGAAGCGUACGUCAUGUAUGACGCAGAUCGAAAUGACAUUGCUUUUUUGCAUUGACGUUGAAUCCAAUUUCAUUAACUGACGUGGGGACUCCAUGCACGUGAUAACCUCAUGGGACACAAUAUUAUUUAACAUUCUUUUCAAGUAACAUCACAGUGAUAAAAUCAAGCUCAGUAACUUCUUCGGAAGAGAAAACAAUGGCUUCAUCUAAGAUCACUUUGAUUUUUCUUACUUGUUUUCUCUUUGAUCUUGUUCUUUUGCCAUCUCUUCAGAUGAUCACUCAAGCGAGUAAACCGAUUGGGAGAGAAAAAAAAAGUAAUAAUAUAAUUACAAAUUCUUGUACAAUUUUUUUUUUAUAAACUAAUGUAUCAUGAUUUAAUUGGUUGGAUUAGAUAUCUCUUAGUCCACAUUAUUUUUUUUAAUUAUUUUAUAUUUUUAUUCAACCAAUGAAUUAAAAUUAAAUCAGUUUGUACAAAAUAAGUUUGAAAAAGAAUUUGUGGCUAUAUCACCACUAAAAAAAAAAGAGAAAAAAGAAAAUGAUGCUUUCAUUUUCUUCAUUUCCACGCAUGCAUGAAAUUAUUUGCAUUUUCGCUUUCUUUAUUCUGCUGUACCGUACAUCCGCCUUGGCCGUACAGCAGGUAAUAAUUGUCAUUAAAUAAUAAUGAUAAUGGUAAUAAUAUUUAUAAAAAAAAUAUUUACUCUUUAUUUUCUUAGUGAAUAAAUGCAUAAUUGUAACUAAUGACAUUUUAAUAAUUUUAUAAUCUAUUUUUAUCACAAGACAAAAUAAAUAUAUCAACGAAAAUAUAACUCAUGCCAAUUGUAAUUUUAAUAACUCAAGUAAAUAAUUUAUUCUAAUUUCCAUUCCUUCGGUUGUUAUCCAUUUUGAUUCCGAAUCAUUCCAAUUUCUAUUCAUAAAUAGCAUACAAACGGAGGGCACAGUCAGUUCCAUAAUACUUCAAUUAGACUAAAUUUUAGUAGGAGUAUUUUGCAAGUAAUAUUUUUAAAAUUUUUAUCUCUUGUGAUGCGGUUCUCACAUCUGAUUUGUAUAAGAUGACGAUGAUAGUUUAAUAAGUAAAUUUUAAUUUUUUGAUAUAUUUUGCCAAAGUUUUGAAACCUAUCUUUUAAAAAAAAUAAUUAAUCAAAGUAGCAUUGUUGGUCUGUCAAUUAAGCAACUUUAUUUUCGCUUAUUAAGCUUUGCCUAAGCUGUUGGGAAAAGAAAAAGAAAAAGAAAAAGAAAGUGUAUCUAGGCCGUAUCAUUUCAAUCCAAUCAUUGACAAGGGCUUCCAUUUCCAGGCAUGGAUAAACUUUUGUCGAAUAUCUUAAGAGUCUAAGCAAAGCUUUAGUUUCCAUUCCUAUCAAGCAAACCAGUGCCUAAUUGCCGCAUAAAUAGACAAAUUUAGUUAUCAUUUUCAGAUCCAAUAAUUAAUGAUAGACAAAGCCAUUGUAACUUUUUAAAAUGAUGAAUUAAAGCUCUAAAAAUGUACUCAUUUAUUCAUAAAUACUUCUUUUAUAUAAAAGAAGUAUUUUUUUUGUGAACAAGCAGCUUACAUUGCACUUACAAAACAAAGAAAAAAGGAAAAACAGAAUGAAGCUUACAUCGCAUAAAUGUAAGCAAGAUUAUUUAUUUAUUGAGAUACAGAUACAAAUUUAUUAUGGAGCUUCAGUUUUGAGGCUCGGUUUCAGGCUCCGUAUCAACAGCCUCACCAGCGUAAGUGCAGCACCUGCAGCCUCCAUGAUAACCAUGUCCACAGCAACCGUAGCGGCAGUGGCCACCGCCAUGGCCCCCACCACCGCCAUAGCCCCCACCACCGCCAUAG
Molecule: long non-coding RNA, 31641 nt
Filed under: Citrus sinensis (sweet orange)
Lineage: Eukaryota; Viridiplantae; Streptophyta; Magnoliopsida; Sapindales; Rutaceae
Description: long non-coding RNA (CSIN_LNC000781)
Source: RNAcentral